RNAcentral lists this ribosomal RNA (494 nucleotides) under uncultured bacterium. RNAcentral describes it as "partial 16S ribosomal RNA". It matches the Rfam family "Bacterial small subunit ribosomal RNA", at positions 28 to 507 of the family's 1533-position model. The record is from RNAcentral.
GACGAACGCUGGCGGCGUGCUUAACACAUGCAAGUCGAACGGUGAAGCGCCUUCCUUUUUGGUGGGUGUGGAUGAGUGGCGAACGGGUGAGUAACACGUGAGUAACCUGCCCCCUUCUUCUGGAUAACCGCAUGAAAGUGUGGCUAAUACGGGAUAUUCUGGGUCUGUCGCAUGAUGGGUCUGGGAAAGAUAUUGUUUCGGUGGGGGAUGGGCUCGCGGCCUAUCAGCUUGUUGGUGGGGUGAUGGCCUACCAAGGCGGGGACGGGUAGCCGGCCUGAGAGGGUGGACGGUCACACUGGGAGUGCGACACGGCCCAGACUGCUACGGGAGGCAGCCGUGGGGAGUAUUGCACAAUGGGCGAAAGCCUGAUGCAGCGACGCCGCGUGAGGGAUGGCGGCCUUCGGGUUGUGAACCUCUUUCGCCAGUGAAGCAGGCCUGCCUCGUUUGUGGGUGGGUUGACAGUAGCUGGAUAAGAAGCGCCGGCUAACUACGUG